GAUGAACGCUGGCGGCGUGCCUAAUACAUGCAAGUCGAGCGAACGGACGAGAAACUUGCUUCUCUGAUGUUAGCGGCGGACGGGUGAGUAAAACGUGGAUAACCUACCUAUAAGACUGGGAUAACUUCGGGAAACCGGAGCUAAAACCGGAUAAUAUUUUGAACCGCAUGGUUCAAAAGUGAAAGACGGUCUUGCUUCCACUUAUAGAUGGAUCCGCGCUGCAUUAGCUAGUUGGUAAGGUAACGGCUUACCAAGGCAACGAUGCAUAGCCGACCUGAGAGGAUGAUCGGCCACACUGGAACUGAGACACGGUCCAGACUCCUACGGGAGGCAGCAGUAGGGAAUCUUCCGCAAUGGGCGAAAGCCUGACGGAGCAACGCCGCGUGAAUGAUGAAGGUCUUCGGAUCGUAAAACUCUGUUAUUAGGGAAGAACAUAUGUGUAAGUAACUGUGCACAUCUUGACGUUACCUAAUCAGAAAGCCACGGCUAACUACGUG
This 497-nucleotide ribosomal RNA is filed under the name uncultured bacterium. Its description in RNAcentral is "partial 16S ribosomal RNA". It matches the Rfam family "Bacterial small subunit ribosomal RNA", at positions 28 to 507 of the family's 1533-position model. The record is from RNAcentral.